RNAcentral lists this unclassified non-coding RNA (19 nucleotides) under Escherichia phage MS2. Its description in RNAcentral is "5'-R(*AP*CP*AP*UP*CP*GP*CP*GP*AP*UP *UP*AP*CP*GP*GP*AP*UP*GP*U)-3' from Escherichia phage MS2 (PDB 2IZN, chain S)". Lineage: Riboviria; Orthornavirae; Lenarviricota; Leviviricetes; Norzivirales; Fiersviridae. The record is from RNAcentral.
ACAUCGCGAUUACGGAUGU